RNAcentral lists this long non-coding RNA (1330 nucleotides) under Olea europaea subsp. europaea. Lineage: Eukaryota; Viridiplantae; Streptophyta; Magnoliopsida; Lamiales; Oleaceae. The record is from RNAcentral.
CAAAUACUUUAAUUCUGUUAAUAUCUUUUCAGUUAGCUGAUGCAAAGGACAAAAUCUCUUCAAUCCUUCUGAUUGCGGUUCUAGAUGUCCUGUUUUGACACCGAAUAUUAAAGUAAGUUGCUUUCAAAGAUAACAACAUUUAAAGUACGGUAUUGCAACUUCUUGAGGAGAUUUUUGAAAUCCUUUAGAACUGGCCUUAUUCAACACAAUGCCUUCAAAUCUUAAAGCUAGUUUUCGCCAAAACAUAAAUUCUGUUUGGAUCUAUGAGGAUAAGGAAGCAUUUUUCUCCGACUUAUUUUUCAGAUCUACAAUAAAUACAAUCACUGUCAAAUGGAAAUCAGACCUCAGCAGCCUAUUGGCCAAAAUAUGGUGAGGAUCUGCACUGAUGAAAUCAGAUUGGUACUAUGUAAAAUUUGUUGAAACAGCACUGGCUUUUCAAUCUGGCAAUUAAAUUGCGUAAUUAAAAGUAGCACCAAGAAGCCACCCUAUGCAUUCUCAAUAAACGAUAUCAGGUGUGGGGGGGGGGGGGGGGAAGAAAACAACUCUAAUCUUGUUUCAUCAAUUCUAAGGAGAGAGAAACUCACGUCUGUUUGCUUUUAUAGAUGCCUCUAGUUUUAAAUUUUACAAUUUCCUUCUUUAAUGGCAAUACAAGAAUGCUGCCUGUGAGGAUGCAUGUAUGCUGCUCUGCUCCCUAUGUUAAUUUCAAUUUGAUUUUAUAUUUAUUUUCAGGAAUGCCAAAAUUAUAUUUCAACAAGAAGAUAUCAAGUUUGUGCAGCCAUCUUCUUCUUCUUCUUCUUCUUCUUAUCUAGGUAAGUGGGAGAGGAUGGAGAUGCUGCCAAACAACCCUCGUCGGCUAUUCAUUAUGUGAUCAUCAGUUGGAUAAAAGGAAGCUUAAAAGCACGACGAGCACUGUUCGCGUACUCUCUCCGAGUGCGAAGCAAGUAGAAGCUUUUGUUGCGUCCAAGAAUGAAAUCUUGAGCCCAUCUUCAACUCGACAAAUAUCAUCUAUCUUGAGUUCCUUAGAUGUGGACUCGAAAUGAUUAGAGAAAAUUGAUAACGAUGAUGAGAAGAAAGCAGUGAUGUCUGCAAAGAAGAUGACAAAAAUUGGACCUCAUGGUGAGAGCUAGAUCAAUAAGCAGCCUGCUUGGCCAGAUUGAUAGUACGGCAAUUGAGUAUUAUUUCGUGCAGAAGAAAGUUGAAUCGUUAUGAUAUGUUGUUGCAUUGAAUUUGGAAUGUAUAUAUAUGGCCACAGUAUAACAGAUGUAUGUGGUAUUGAACAAGUUGAAUUGCGAUAUAUUGUUGCUCUUUCAUUCGUGCAUUUAACUCUGGC